CAGGCUUAACACAUGCAAGUCGAGGGGCAGCAUUUUAGUUUGCUUGCAAACUGAAGAUGGCGACCGGCGCACGGGUGAGUAACACGUAUCCAACCUGCCGAUAACUCCGGAAUAGCCUUUCGAAAGAAAGAUUAAUACCGGAUAGUAUACGAAUAUCGCAUGAUAUUUUUAUUAAAGAAUUUCGGUUAUCGAUGGGGAUGCGUUCCAUUAGUUUGUUGGCGGGGUAACGGCCCACCAAGACUACGAUGGAUAGGGGUUCUGAGAGGAAGGUCCCCCACAUUGGAACUGAGACACGGUCCAAACUCCUACGGGAGGCAGCAGUGAGGAAUAUUGGUCAAUGGGCGAGAGCCUGAACCAGCCAAGUAGCGUGAAGGAUGAAGGCUCUAUGGGUCGUAAACUUCUUUUAUAUGGGAAUAAAGUUUUCCACGUGUGGAAUUUUGUAUGUACCAUAUGAAUAAGGAUCGGCUAACUCCGUGCCAGCAGCCGCGGUAAUACGGAGGAUCCGAGCGUUAUCCGGAUUUAUUGGGUUUAAAGGGAGCGUAGGUGGAUUGUUAAGUCAGUUGUGAAAGUUUGCGGCUCAACCGUAAAAUUGCAGUUGAAACUGGGAGUCUUGAGUACAGUAGAGGUGGGCGGAAUUCGUGGUGUAGCGGUGAAAUGCUUAGAUAUCACGAAGAACUCCGAUUGCGAAGGCAGCUCACUAGACUGUCACUGACACUGAUGCUCGAAAGUGUGGGUAUCAAACAGGAUUAGAUACCCUGGUAGUCCACACAGUAAACGAUGAAUACUCGCUGUUUGCGAUAUACAGUAAGCGGCCAAGCGAAAGCAUUAAGUAUUCCACCUGGGGAGUACGCCGGCAACAGUGAAACUCAAAGGAAUUGACGGGGGCCCGCACAAGCGGAGGAACAUGUGGUUUAAUUCGAUGAUACGCGAGGAACCUUACCCGGGCUUAAAUUGCAACAGAAUAUAUUGGAAACAGUAUAGCCGUAAGGCUGUUGUGAAGGUGCUGCAUGGUUGUCGUCAGCUCGUGCCGUGAGGUGUCGGCUUAAGUGCCAUAACGAGCGCAACCCUUAUCUUUAGUUACUAACAGGUCAUGCUGAGGACUCUAGAGAGACUGCCGUCGUAAGAUGUGAGGAAGGUGGGGAUGACGUCAAAUCAGCACGGCCCUUACGUCCGGGGCUACACACGUGUUACAAUGGGGGGUACAGAAGGCGGCUACCUGGUGACAGGAUGCUAAUCCCAAAAACCUCUCUCAGUUCGGAUCGAAGUCUGCAACCCGACUUCGUGAAGCUGGAUUCGCUAGUAAUCGCGCAUCAGCCAUGGCGCGGUGAAUACGUUCCCGGGCCUUGUACACACCGCCCGUCAAGCCGUGAAAGCCGGGGGUACCUGAAGUACGUAACCGCAAGGAGCGUCCUAGGGUAAAACUGGUAAUUGGGGCUAAGUCAUAACA
Molecule: ribosomal RNA, 1447 nt
Filed under: uncultured organism
Description: 16S ribosomal RNA
Rfam family: Bacterial small subunit ribosomal RNA
Source: RNAcentral